This 214-nucleotide unclassified non-coding RNA is filed under the name Hevea brasiliensis (rubber tree). The record is from RNAcentral. Lineage: Eukaryota; Viridiplantae; Streptophyta; Magnoliopsida; Malpighiales; Euphorbiaceae.
GUUCUUUUCAUUUGACAUAACUUGUUUUUGGUUUUGACCAAGGAUCCAUGGUCUACUAACCCAUCUAAGAAAGUAUUAGAACAGGAAUGACGGCUUCCUUAACCAUCUCCAUGCAUUAGCUUACCAUUUAAGAAGUGCAGUGUAUUUAACCCAAAUGUUUUACCAUCUCAACAUUCACUACUACCAGACAUGAACUGUCUGAUAGAUGAUUCCA